GUGGUGUAGAGCGCGCCUUGGUCGGUGCUGUAUUCAAUACGGCCGAAGAGGUUGUCGUAGGUCGGGUGCGGCUCGAACACCACC
This 84-nucleotide transfer RNA is filed under the name Pseudomonas sp. Cab53. Its description in RNAcentral is "tRNA-SeC". Lineage: Bacteria; Pseudomonadati; Pseudomonadota; Gammaproteobacteria; Pseudomonadales; Pseudomonadaceae. The record is from RNAcentral.